AAGGCCUGAUGUGUGUGAGAUUACCCGCUGAAUUUAAGCAUAUAAGUAAGCGGAGGAAAAGAAACUAACUAGGAUUCCCUUA
This 82-nucleotide non-coding RNA is filed under the name Perkinsus marinus ATCC 50983. Its description in RNAcentral is "Eukaryotic large subunit ribosomal RNA". It matches the Rfam family "Eukaryotic large subunit ribosomal RNA", at positions 1 to 82 of the family's 3401-position model. Lineage: Eukaryota; Perkinsozoa; Perkinsida; Perkinsidae. The record is from Rfam by way of RNAcentral.